Linepithema humile (Argentine ant) is the source of this 362-nucleotide non-coding RNA. Lineage: Eukaryota; Metazoa; Arthropoda; Insecta; Hymenoptera; Formicidae. The record is from RefSeq and is a predicted model, not a curated record.
CCACACCAUGCAACACAUCGUCACGUCGACGUUUUGAAUGUCAGUCUGCCUGCUCUUUAUGUCGCUUUUCUACUGCGCAUACUGCGGGAUCUGGCAUAUUUGUAUGAGAACAAAAAUAUUCCAUGUGAUGCACAAAGUUUGAGGUUCCAAGUACAUUUAAAAUUCAAAUCUCAACAUUGUGAAAUAAUUUACAUAUCGGCAAAUUUAACAUCGAAUCUGCUCCCUUCAGCUAUAUUUUUUCAAACACAUUUCAAAAGAAGGUAUAUAAUGGGAUAUGAAGGAUAAAUGGAAAAAAAGAAGAGAAAUUAAAAUAAAAAUUAUAGAAAAUGCGACUGUAGAAAGCAGAUUGUACUAGUACGUGA